GACGAACGCUGGCGGCGUGCUUAACACAUGCAAGUCGAACGGAAAGGCCCUGCUUUUGUGGGGUGCUCGAGUGGCGAACGGGUGAGUAACACGUGAGUAACCUGCCCUUGACUUUGGGAUAACUUCAGGAAACUGGGGCUAAUACCGGAUAGGAGCUCCUGCUGCAUGGUGGGGGUUGGAAAGUUUCGGCGGUUGGGGAUGGACUCGCGGCUUAUCAGCUUGUUGGUGGGGUAGUGGCUUACCAAGGCUUUGACGGGUAGCCGGCCUGAGAGGGUGACCGGCCACAUUGGGACUGAGAUACGGCCCAGACUACUACGGGAGGCAGCAGUGGGGAAUAUUGCACAAUGGGCGGAAGCCUGAUGCAGCAACGCCGCGUGCGGGAUGACGGCCUUCGGGUUGUAAACCGCUUUCGCCUGUGACGAAGCGUGAGUGACGGUAAUGUGUAAAGAAGCACCGGCUAACUACGUG
RNAcentral lists this ribosomal RNA (468 nucleotides) under uncultured bacterium. RNAcentral describes it as "partial 16S ribosomal RNA". It matches the Rfam family "Bacterial small subunit ribosomal RNA", at positions 28 to 507 of the family's 1533-position model. The record is from RNAcentral.